CCAGUUCGGCAGGGGUGCCCAAAUAAAGGCUGAGAUUGCAGGAACGGCAUGCUGUUCCCGCAGAACCCUUCAAACCUGAUGCGAAUAAUUCCGCCGCAGGGAGUUCGAUUGAACGGGCUU
This is a regulatory RNA element of Akkermansia muciniphila ATCC BAA-835, 120 nucleotides long. It matches the Rfam family "TPP riboswitch aptamer (THI element)". Rfam says of the family: Vitamin B(1) in its active form thiamin pyrophosphate (TPP) is an essential coenzyme that is synthesised by coupling of pyrimidine and thiazole moieties in bacteria. The previously detected thiamin-regulatory element, thi box was extended, resulting in a new, highly conserved RNA secondary structure, the THI element, which is widely distributed in eubacteria and also occurs in some archaea. The record is from Rfam. Lineage: Bacteria; Pseudomonadati; Verrucomicrobiota; Verrucomicrobiia; Verrucomicrobiales; Akkermansiaceae.